RNAcentral lists this non-coding RNA (21 nucleotides) under Caenorhabditis elegans. Lineage: Eukaryota; Metazoa; Nematoda; Chromadorea; Rhabditida; Rhabditidae. The record is from RNAcentral.
UGUGCGUAGUAUCAAUCAAAA